This 481-nucleotide ribosomal RNA is filed under the name uncultured bacterium. RNAcentral's name for it is "bacterial SSU rRNA". It matches the Rfam family "Bacterial small subunit ribosomal RNA", at positions 28 to 522 of the family's 1533-position model. The record is from RNAcentral.
GACGAACGCUGGCGGCGUGCCUAACACAUGCAAGUCGAACGGAGAUGUUGAUUUCGGUUGACGUCUUAGUGGCGAACGGUGAGUAACGCGUGAACAAUCUGACCUUAAGAGGGGAUAACAACGAGAAAUCGUUGCUAAUACCGCAUAAGACCACAAUGCCGCAUGGCGAAGGGGUCAAAGGAGCAAUCCGCUUAAAGGAGGGGUUCGCGUCCCAUUAGGUAGUAGGUGAGGUAACGGCUCACCUAGCCGACGAUGGGUAGCCGAGCUGAGAGGCUGAUCGGCCACACUGGAACUGAGACACGGUCCAGACUCCUACGGGAGGCAGCAGUGGGGAAUAUUGGGCAAUGGGCGCAAGCCUGACCCAGCAACGCCGCGUGAGGGAAGAAGGUUUUCGGAUUGUAAACCUCUGUCGCAGAUGACGAAACAAAUGACGGUAAUCUGUGAGGAAGCCCCGGCUAACUACGUGCCAGCAGCCGCGUAU